This 73-nucleotide transfer RNA is filed under the name Aphanotorulus emarginatus. RNAcentral describes it as "tRNA-Lys". It matches the Rfam family "tRNA". From Rfam's summary of the family: Transfer RNA (tRNA) molecules are approximately 80 nucleotides in length. Their secondary structure includes four short double-helical elements and three loops (D, anti-codon, and T loops). Further hydrogen bonds mediate the characteristic L-shaped molecular structure. tRNAs have two regions of fundamental functional importance: the anti-codon, which is responsible for specific mRNA codon recognition, and the 3' end, to which the tRNAs corresponding amino acid is attached (by aminoacyl-tRNA synthetases). tRNAs cope with the degeneracy of the genetic code in two manners: having more than one tRNA (with a specific anti-codon) for a particular amino acid; and 'wobble' base-pairing, i.e. permitting non-standard base-pairing at the 3rd anti-codon position. The record is from RNAcentral. Lineage: Eukaryota; Metazoa; Chordata; Actinopteri; Siluriformes; Loricariidae.
CACUAAGAAGCUAAUAGGGACAAGCAUCAGCCUUUUAAGCUGAAAAUUGGUGAUUCCCAACCACCCUUAGUGA